This 197-nucleotide ribosomal RNA is filed under the name uncultured bacterium. RNAcentral describes it as "partial 16S ribosomal RNA". It matches the Rfam family "Bacterial small subunit ribosomal RNA", at positions 338 to 526 of the family's 1533-position model. The record is from RNAcentral.
CCUACGGGAGGCAGCAGUGGGGAAUAUUGCACAAUGGGCGCAAGCCUGAUGCAGCCAUGCCGCGUGUAUGAAGAAGGCCUUCGGGUUGUAAAGUACUUUCAGCGGGGAGGAAGGUGUUGAGGUUAAUAACCUCAGCAAUUGACGUUACCCGCAGAAGAAGCACCGGCUAACUCCGUGCCAGCAGCCGCGGUAAUAAU